UACGUAGGGGGCUAGCGUUGUCCGGAUUUAUUGGGCGUAAAGAGCGUGUAGGCGGCCAAGUAGGUCCGGUGUGAAAACUCGAGGCUUAACCUCGAGAUGUCAUCGGAAACCAUUUGGCUAGAGUCCGGAAGAGGAAAGCGGAAUUCCCGGUGUAGCGGUGAAAUGCGUAGAUAUCGGGAGGAACAUCAGUGGCGAAGGCGGCCUUCUGGUCCAGUACUGACACUCAAGUGCGAAAGCGUGGGGAGCAAACAGG
RNAcentral lists this ribosomal RNA (253 nucleotides) under uncultured bacterium. RNAcentral describes it as "partial 16S ribosomal RNA". It matches the Rfam family "Bacterial small subunit ribosomal RNA", at positions 524 to 776 of the family's 1533-position model. The record is from RNAcentral.